UUGCCUCAGUAACGGCGAGUGAAGCGGCAAAAGCUCAAAUUUGAAAUCUGGCACCUUCGGUGUCCGAGUUGUAAUUUGAAGAAGGUAACUUUGGAGUUGGCUCUUGUCUAUGUUCCUUGGAACAGGACGUCACAGAGGGUGAGAAUCCCGUGCGAUGAGAUGCCCAAUUCUAUGUAAAGUGCUUUCGAAGAGUCGAGUUGUUUGGGAAUGCAGCUCUAAGUGGGUGGUAAAUUCCAUCUAAAGCUAAAUAUUGGCGAGAGACCGAUAGCGAACAAGUACAGUGAUGGAAAGAUGAAAAGAACUUUGAAAAGAGAGUGAAAAAGUACGUGAAAUUGUUGAAAGGGAAGGGCUUGAGAUCAGACUUGGUAUUUUGCAAGCCUUACCUUCGUGGUGGGGUCCCCUGCAGUUUACUGGGCCAGCAUCGGUUUGGAUGGUAGGAUAAUGACUUGGGAAUGUGACUUUGCUUCGGUAAAGUGUUAUAGCCCUUGUUGAUACUGCCUGUCUAGACCGAGGACUGCGUCUUUGACUAGGAUGCUGGCAUAAUGAUCUUAAGUCGCCCGU
Molecule: ribosomal RNA, 561 nt
Filed under: Debaryomyces sp.
Lineage: Eukaryota; Fungi; Ascomycota; Pichiomycetes; Serinales; Debaryomycetaceae
Description: LSU rRNA
Rfam family: Eukaryotic large subunit ribosomal RNA
Source: RNAcentral